This 689-nucleotide ribosomal RNA is filed under the name Streptococcus sp. HGFM104. RNAcentral's name for it is "bacterial SSU rRNA". It matches the Rfam family "Bacterial small subunit ribosomal RNA", at positions 71 to 748 of the family's 1533-position model. The record is from RNAcentral. Lineage: Bacteria; Bacillati; Bacillota; Bacilli; Lactobacillales; Streptococcaceae.
AGUUUACUACACCGUAUCCUGUGAGUUGCGAACGGGUGAGUAACGCGUAGGUAACCUGCCUGGUAGCGGGGGAUAACUAUUGGAAACGAUAGCUAAUACCGCAUAAGAACAUUUACUGCAUGGUAGAUGUUUAAAAGGUGCAAGAGCAUCACUACCAGAUGGACCUGCGUUGUAUUAGCUAGUUGGUGAGGUAACGGCUCACCAAGGCAACGAUACAUAGCCGACCUGAGAGGGUGAUCGGCCACACUGGGACUGAGACACGGCCCAGACUCCUACGGGAGGCAGCAGUAGGGAAUCUUCGGCAAUGGGGGGAACCCUGACCGAGCAACGCCGCGUGAGUGAAGAAGGUUUUCGGAUCGUAAAGCUCUGUUGUUAAGGAAGAACGUGUGUGAGAGUGGAAAGUUCACACAGUGACGGUACUUAACCAGAAAGGGACGGCUAACUACGUGCCAGCAGCCGCGGUAAUACGUAGGUCCCGAGCGUUGUCCGGAUUUAUUGGGCGUAAAGCGAGCGCAGGCGGUUAGAUAAGUCUGAAGUGAAAGGCAGUGGCUCAACCAUUGUAGGCUUUGGAAACUGUUUAACUUGAGUGCAGAAGGGGAGAGUGGAAUUCCAUGUGUAGCGGUGAAAUGCGUAGAUAUAUGGAGGAACACCGGUGGCGAAAGCGGCUCUCUGGUCUGUAACUGACGCUG